Molecule: non-coding RNA, 22 nt
Filed under: Arabidopsis thaliana (thale cress)
Lineage: Eukaryota; Viridiplantae; Streptophyta; Magnoliopsida; Brassicales; Brassicaceae
Source: RNAcentral
UAUAUCCAACGUUUACUAUGCU